Molecule: small nucleolar RNA, 127 nt
Organism: Heterocephalus glaber (naked mole-rat)
Lineage: Eukaryota; Metazoa; Chordata; Mammalia; Rodentia; Bathyergidae
Source: Ensembl
AGCACCUGUGUCUUUUUUGUCUAACUUAUGGAUAAAGACUUAUAGAUAGGUGAAAAAAAUAAAUCUUUUUUUCCAACCCAGAGCUCAUUGUUCAGCAUAAGUUUUGAUGCACAUAAGAAGAAAUGUU